Molecule: ribosomal RNA, 393 nt
Filed under: uncultured soil bacterium
Lineage: Bacteria
Description: bacterial SSU rRNA
Rfam family: Bacterial small subunit ribosomal RNA
Source: RNAcentral
CAGCCCUUGACAUGGUCGGACGGUUUCCAGAGAUGGAUUCCUUCACUUCGGUGACUGACACACAGGUGCUGCAUGGCUGUCGUCAGCUCGUGUCGUGAGAUGUUGGGUUAAGUCCCGCAACGAGCGCAACCCUCGCCUUUAGUUGCCAUCAUUUAGUUGGGCACUCUAGAGGGACUGCCGGUGAUAAGCCGGAGGAAGGUGGGGAUGACGUCAAGUCUUCAUGGCCCUUACGGGCUGGGCUACACACGUGCUACAAUGGCGGUGACAGAGGGCAGCUAGUCCGCGAGGACAUGCUAAUCCCUAAAAGCCGUCUCAGUUCGGAUUGCACUCUGCAACUCGAGUGCAUGAAGUUGGAAUUGCUAGUAAUCGCAGAUCAACACGCUGCGGUGAAUA